UUAGGGAACCACUAAUAAGUAGUUAAUGGAUUAAAACAAAAGUUAAGGGACUGAAAGUGUAAAAACUGAAAUAACUUUCAAUUAGUAACAAAAACACACACACCAACACACACAAAGGUGUGUUGGUCGACCAAAACAAAAGGGGCGACCAGGGGUUUUUCAUCAAGCCCUAAAUUCUUCAAAAUCUUACAAAUUGAAGGCCAAUACCUGUUCCAAAUCGAAGUUAGAGCUAAGAUUAGUGAUCCUCACAGCAAGAGGGUUACAAGGAAAGGACGCAGGAGCGUCAAGCGGGCAAGCGAGUGGCGAACCACGUUUGAAGGGCCUACUUUGAAGGUGACGUAAUGGAUCUUACGGAUGGCGGUCGAGCGAAUAAUGAAGAACCGAACACUACAUUUUGAAAGCUUCCGCAAUGUUUUAAAUCUUUAGUACUCUUAUGUAUGAAUUGUAAUUACUUGUUAAACUACUUUUGGUAUGUUUUAACUUAUACACUAGUCGACUAAGGUUGACGUACUUUAGGACUCCGUUAACUGAUGUUAUGUUACUAAAGUAAUAUUUUGAUAAAA
Helianthus annuus (common sunflower) is the source of this 563-nucleotide long non-coding RNA. RefSeq lists it as uncharacterized. Lineage: Eukaryota; Viridiplantae; Streptophyta; Magnoliopsida; Asterales; Asteraceae. The transcript has 3 exons. The record is from RefSeq and is a predicted model, not a curated record.